GCAUGGGUGGUGCAGCCGUAGAACUCCCACCUGCCAUGCGGGAGGCCCAGGUUCGAUCCCCGGCCCAUGCA
This 71-nucleotide transfer RNA is filed under the name Ovis aries (sheep). It matches the Rfam family "tRNA". From Rfam's summary of the family: Transfer RNA (tRNA) molecules are approximately 80 nucleotides in length. Their secondary structure includes four short double-helical elements and three loops (D, anti-codon, and T loops). Lineage: Eukaryota; Metazoa; Chordata; Mammalia; Artiodactyla; Bovidae. The record is from Rfam by way of RNAcentral.